UUACAGCUGACGAGUCCUAAAUAGGAUGAAACGCGCGCCCUGGAU
This is a non-coding RNA of Schistosoma haematobium, 45 nucleotides long. The record is from Rfam. Lineage: Eukaryota; Metazoa; Platyhelminthes; Trematoda; Strigeidida; Schistosomatidae.